CCUACGGGUGGCAGCAGUAGGGAAUUUUCGGCAAUGGGGGAAACCCUGACCGAGCAACGCCGCGUGAGUGAUGACGGCCUUCGGGUUGUAAAGCUCUGUUGUAAGGGAAGAACGGUAGAUAGAGAAUAUCUAAGUGACGGUACCUUACCAGAAAGCCACGGCUAACUACGUGCCAGCAGCCGCGGUAAUACGUAGGUGGCGAGCGUUAUCCGGAAUUAUUGGGCGUAAAGGGUGCGUAGGCGGCCUGUUAAGUAAGUGGUUAAAUUGUUGGGCUCAACCCAAUCCAGCCACUUAAACUGGCAGGCUAGAGUAUUGGAGAGGCAAGUGGAAUUCCAUGUGUAGCGGUAAAAUGCGUAGAUAUAUGGAGGAACACCAGUGGCGAAGGCGGCUUGCUAGCCAAAGACUGACGCUCAUGCACGAAAGCGUGGGGAGCAAAUAGGAUUAGAUACCCCAGUAGUC
RNAcentral lists this ribosomal RNA (459 nucleotides) under uncultured Bulleidia sp. RNAcentral's name for it is "bacterial SSU rRNA". It matches the Rfam family "Bacterial small subunit ribosomal RNA", at positions 338 to 795 of the family's 1533-position model. Lineage: Bacteria; Bacillati; Bacillota; Erysipelotrichia; Erysipelotrichales; Erysipelotrichaceae. The record is from RNAcentral.